Molecule: ribosomal RNA, 2897 nt
Filed under: Salmonella enterica subsp. enterica serovar Enteritidis
Lineage: Bacteria; Pseudomonadati; Pseudomonadota; Gammaproteobacteria; Enterobacterales; Enterobacteriaceae
Description: partial 23S ribosomal RNA
Rfam family: Bacterial large subunit ribosomal RNA
Source: RNAcentral
AAUCCAUAGGUUAAUGAGGCGAACCGGGGGAACUGAAACAUCUAAGUACCCCGAGGAAAAGAAAUCAACCGAGAUUCCCCCAGUAGCGGCGAGCGAACGGGGAGGAGCCCAGAGCCUGAAUCAGCAUGUGUGUUAGUGGAAGCGUCUGGAAAGGCGCGCGAUACAGGGUGACAGCCCCGUACACAAAAGCGCAUGUGCUGUGAGCUCGAUGAGUAGGGCGGGACACGUGGUAUCCUGUCUGAAUAUGGGGGGACCAUCCUCCAAGGCUAAAUACUCCUGACUGACCGAUAGUGAACCAGUACCGUGAGGGAAAGGCGAAAAGAACCCCGGCGAGGGGAGUGAAAAAGAACCUGAAACCGUGUACGUACAAGCAGUGGGAGCCCCACCACCAAAGCAUUUGCUGUACCGCGUUGACGGAGCGAAGCGACGUCAAACCGAUAAAACAGCAGUGUAAAGUGAGCCGCAGGGCGCUUUGCGCGACAGCGCAAAGGCAGGCGGUUUCGCGUAGCGAAAGCGAAUGCUUUGGGGUGGGGUGACUGCGUACCUUUUGUAUAAUGGGUCAGCGACUUAUAUUCUGUAGCAAGGUUAACCGAAUAGGGGAGCCGGAGGGAAACCGAGUCUUAAUUGGGCGUUAAGUUGCAGGGUAUAGACCCGAAACCCGGUGAUCUAGCCAUGGGCAGGUUGAAGGUUGGGUAACACUAACUGGAGGACCGAACCGACUAAUGUUGAAAAAUUAGCGGAUGACCUGUGGCUGGGGGUGAAAGGCCAAUCAAACCGGGAGAUAGCUGGUUCUCCCCGAAAGCUAUUUAGGUAGCGCCUCGUGAAUUCAUCUCCGGGGGUAGAGCACUGUUUCGGCUAGGGGGCCAUCCCGGCUUACCAACCCGAUGCAAACUGCGAAUACCGGAGAAUGUUAUCACGGGAGACACACGGCGGGUGCUAACGUCCGUCGUGAAGAGGGAAACAACCCAGACCGCCAGCUAAGGUCCCAAAGUCAUGGUUAAGUGGGAAACGAUGUGGGAAGGCCCAGACAGCCAGGAUGUUGGCUUAGAAGCAGCCAUCAUUUAAAGAAAGCGUAAUAGCUCACUGGUCGAGUCGGCCUGCGCGGAAGAUGUAACGGGGCUAAACCAUGCACCGAAGCUGCGGCAGCGACACUGUGUGUUGUUGGGUAGGGGAGCGUUCUGUAAGCCUGUGAAGGUGUGUCGUGAGGCAUGCUGGAGGUAUCAGAAGUGCGAAUGCUGACAUAAGUAACGAUAAAGCGGGUGAAAAGCCCGCUCGCCGGAAGACCAAGGGUUCCUGUCCAACGUUAAUCGGGGCAGGGUGAGUCGACCCCUAAGGCGAGGCCGAAAGGCGUAGUCGAUGGGAAACGGGUUAAUAUUCCCGUACUUGGUGUUACUGCGAAGGGGGGACGGAGAAGGCUAUGUUGGCCGGGCGACGGUUGUCCCGGUUUAAGCGUGUAGGUGUGUGUUCCAGGUAAAUCCGGUUCACUUUAACACUGAGGCGUGACGACGAGGCACUACGGUGCUGAAGCAACAAAUGCCCUGCUUCCAGGAAAAGCCUCUAAGCAUCAGGUAACAUCAAAUCGUACCCCAAACCGACACAGGUGGUCAGGUAGAGAAUACCAAGGCGCUUGAGAGAACUCGGGUGAAGGAACUAGGCAAAAUGGUGCCGUAACUUCGGGAGAAGGCACGCUGACACGUAGGUGAAGUGAUUUACUCAUGGAGCUGAAGUCAGUCGAAGAUACCAGCUGGCUGCAACUGUUUAUUAAAAACACAGCACUGUGCAAACACGAAAGUGGACGUAUACGGUGUGACGCCUGCCCGGUGCCGGAAGGUUAAUUGAUGGGGUCAGCGCAAGCGAAGCUCCUGAUCGAAGCCCCGGUAAACGGCGGCCGUAACUAUAACGGUCCUAAGGUAGCGAAAUUCCUUGUCGGGUAAGUUCCGACCUGCACGAAUGGCGUAAUGAUGGCCAGGCUGUCUCCACCCGAGACUCAGUGAAAUUGAACUCGCUGUGAAGAUGCAGUGUACCCGCGGCAAGACGGAAAGACCCCGUGAACCUUUACUAUAGCUUGACACUGAACAUUGAGCCUUGAUGUGUAGGAUAGGUGGGAGGCUUUGAAGUGUGGACGCCAGUCUGCAUGGAGCCGACCUUGAAAUACCACCCUUUAAUGUUUGAUGUUCUAACGUGGACCCGUUACCCGGGUUGCGGACAGUGUCUGGUGGGUAGUUUGACUGGGGCGGUCUCCUCCUAAAGAGUAACGGAGGAGCACGAAGGUUGGCUAAUCCUGGUCGGACAUCAGGAGGUUAGUGCAAUGGCAUAAGCCAGCUUGACUGCGAGCGUGACGGCGCGAGCAGGUGCGAAAGCAGGUCAUAGUGAUCCGGUGGUUCUGAAUGGAAGGGCCAUCGCUCAACGGAUAAAAGGUACUCCGGGGAUAACAGGCUGAUACCGCCCAAGAGUUCAUAUCGACGGCGGUGUUUGGCACCUCGAUGUCGGCUCAUCACAUCCUGGGGCUGAAGUAGGUCCCAAGGGUAUGGCUGUUCGCCAUUUAAAGUGGUACGCGAGCUGGGUUUAGAACGUCGUGAGACAGUUCGGUCCCUAUCUGCCGUGGGCGCUGGAGAACUGAGGGGGGCUGCUCCUAGUACGAGAGGACCGGAGUGGACGCAUCACUGGUGUUCGGGUUGUCAUGCCAAUGGCACUGCCCGGUAGCUAAAUGCGGAAGAGAUAAGUGCUGAAAGCAUCUAAGCACGAAACUUGCCCCGAGAUGAGUUCUCCCUGAGACUUAGAGUCUCCUGAAGGAACGUUGAAGACGACGACGUUGAUAGGCCGGGUGUGUAAGCGCAGCGAUGCGUUGAGCUAACCGGUACUAAUGAACCGUGAGGCUUAACCUUACAACGCCGAAG